CCAAUAGCGUAUAUUAAAGUUGUUGCAGUUAAAAAGCUCGUAGUUGAAUUUCGGGAUCAAUAUAUUGGUCAUGCUUAGGUAUGUACUGGUAUUAUUGAUUUCUCCCUUCUGAAGAACCAUGAUGUCAUUAAUUUGAUGUCGUGGGGAAUCAGGACUGUUACUUUGAAAAAAUUAGAGUGUUUAAAGCAGGCUUUCGCUUGAAUACAUUAGCAUGGAAUAAUGAAAUAGGACGUUUGAUUCUAUUUUGUUGGUUUCUAGGAUCGACGUAAUGAUUAAUAGGGGUAGUUGGGGGCAUUAGUAUUCAAUUGUCAGAGGUGAAAUUCUUGGAUUUAUUGAAGACUAACUACUGCGAAAGCAUUUGCCAAGGAUGUUUUCAUUAAUCAAGAACGAGAGUUAGGGGAUCGAAGACGAUCAGAUACCGUCGUAGUCUUAACCAUAAACUAUGCCGACUAGGGAUCGGAUGAUGUUAAUUUUUUAAUGACUCAUUCGGCGCCUUACG
This 499-nucleotide ribosomal RNA is filed under the name uncultured Glomeromycotina. RNAcentral describes it as "partial small subunit ribosomal RNA". It matches the Rfam family "Eukaryotic small subunit ribosomal RNA", at positions 591 to 1092 of the family's 1831-position model. The record is from RNAcentral. Lineage: Eukaryota; Fungi; Glomeromycota.